ACGGAAGGCAGCAGUGGGGAAUAUUGGACAAUGGGGGGAACCCUGAUCCAGCCAUGCCGCGUGAAGGAAGGCGGCCCUAUGGGUUGUAAACUUCUUUUGCCGCAGAGUAAUAAGCGGGAUGCGUCCCGUGAUGAGAGUAUGCGGCGAAUAAGCAUCGGCUAACUCCGUGCCAGCAGCCGCGGUAAUACGGAGGAUGCAAGCGUUAUCCGGAUUUAUUGGGUUUAAAGGGUGCGUAGGCGGAGCAUUAAGUCAGCGGUGAAAUAUCCCGGCUCAACCGGGAGGCUGCCGUUGAUACUGAUGGUCUCGAGUCCGAACGGCGCCGGCGGAAUAUGUAAUGUAGCGGUGAAAUGCAUAGAUAUUACAUAGAACACCGAUCGCGAAGGCAGCUGGCGAGGACGGCACUGACGCUGAGGCACGAAGGUGCGGGGAUCAAACAGGAUUAGAUACCCUGGUA
RNAcentral lists this ribosomal RNA (454 nucleotides) under uncultured Rikenellaceae bacterium. Its description in RNAcentral is "partial 16S ribosomal RNA". It matches the Rfam family "Bacterial small subunit ribosomal RNA", at positions 341 to 792 of the family's 1533-position model. Lineage: Bacteria; Pseudomonadati; Bacteroidota; Bacteroidia; Bacteroidales; Rikenellaceae. The record is from RNAcentral.